Molecule: small nucleolar RNA, 138 nt
Filed under: Ornithorhynchus anatinus (platypus)
Lineage: Eukaryota; Metazoa; Chordata; Mammalia; Monotremata; Ornithorhynchidae
Source: RNAcentral
CCCUUCUGUGGCUCACACCUGGAGAGUUCCCAGUACUCUACCAGUCUUGACUUCAGGAGGGAGAGUCAGGCAGAGGCCUAGCCAUUCCAUUCCUAGCUUGGGCAGUGGCUAGCGAGUGGAAGACAAUCUGCUUCAAGU